This 440-nucleotide long non-coding RNA is filed under the name Mytilus galloprovincialis (Mediterranean mussel). The record is from RNAcentral. Lineage: Eukaryota; Metazoa; Mollusca; Bivalvia; Mytilida; Mytilidae.
AAAUAAUUCUUUCAUGCCAUGCUCUAUGCUCAUUUUAACAUGGGUAGGCAUUAUAUUUGUUAAUAUCUUAAUACCGAGCGUUAGCGAGGUAUUAAAUGUUUACAAAUAUAAUGCCUACCCAUGUUAAAAUGAGCAUAGAGCAUGGCAUGAUAGAAUUGUUUCGAUUCUAAUAGGAAUAUUUUGAACUUUUGUACUUCGAAGCGGACCUAUAGUAGACGCUCGAAAUGUCGCCAUUUUGAUUUGAUGAACAAAAACGUUAUAGAAAAAUCAACAGUUUAUCAAUAAAAAAAGAACAGAAACAUUUAAACUUACUUUUAGAAUGUUUUUAUUUACUUUCGUAGCGAGCAACACCAACAAAAAUGUCCAUUUUGAUCUCUGGCGUUGUUCAAAAUUCAUCUGACGUUGCAAUUUCAAUUGUGACGUCAAUCACGUGCAGCCCA